This is a long non-coding RNA of Alosa sapidissima (American shad), 424 nucleotides long. RefSeq lists it as uncharacterized. The transcript has 2 exons. The record is from RefSeq and is a predicted model, not a curated record. NCBI's taxonomy places the organism in Eukaryota, Metazoa, Chordata, Actinopteri, Clupeiformes, Clupeidae.
CCAGAUUUAGUUGUAAUAAAUAUGUUAGGUGGUCACUACUAAUGUUUGUGUGUUUUGUGAAAACUCUAUGUCAUAACUAAAAGAAAUGAGUUGAUUGUACUAUUUAAGUGAAAUAUACAGUGCACUGAUCAUGUUAAGCAGAGACAACGAUAAAUGUUAUGUUUUUGCAAGGCAGAGGAGGGGUCUAAUAAAAAUUCUGCCCAUCAACCGUUCCUCCUGCUUCUCAGUCCACACAGAGACAUGAAUGACUCCAUGCAUCGUGCUGCUGUGACAAAUAGGCUACUACAUCAAAUGGUUCUUCGUCUUUUUUUUUAUAGGUUCUUCAUCUACAGUGGAUGUGGAAUAUGUGGAGUGGAGUUUAUGUGGAUGUGGAGUUUAAAUGUUGUUUGUUCAUGAUUUAUCAAUAAUAAAAGGCAUUCCUAUA